RNAcentral lists this ribosomal RNA (618 nucleotides) under Curtobacterium sp. Ri2Pt_4222. RNAcentral describes it as "bacterial SSU rRNA". It matches the Rfam family "Bacterial small subunit ribosomal RNA", at positions 394 to 1022 of the family's 1533-position model. The record is from RNAcentral. Lineage: Bacteria; Bacillati; Actinomycetota; Actinomycetes; Micrococcales; Microbacteriaceae.
ACGCCGCGUGAGGGAGACGGCCUCCGGGUUGUAAACCUCUUUUAGUAGGGAAGAAGCGAAAGGACGGUACCUGCAGAAAAAGCACCGGCUAACUACGUGCCAGCAGCCGCGGUAAUACGUAGGGUGCAAGCGUUGUCCGGAAUUAUUGGGCGUAAAGAGCUCGUAGGCGGUUUGUCGCGUCUGCUGUGAAAUCCCGAGGCUCAACCUCGGGCUUGCAGUGGGUACGGGCAGACUAGAGUGCGGUAGGGGAGACUGGAAUUCCUGGUGUAGCGGUGGAAUGCGCAGAUAUUAGGAGGAACACCGAUGGCGAAGGCAGACCUCUGGGCCGUAACUGACGCUGAGGAGCGAAAGCAUGGGGAGCGAACAGGACUAGAUACCCUGGUAGUCCAUGCCGUAAACGUUGGGCGCUAGAUGUAGGGACCUUUCCACGGUUUCUGUGUCGUAGCUAACGCAUUAAGCGCCCCGCCUGGGGAGUACGGCCGCAAGGCUAAAACUCAAAGGAAUUGACGGGGGCCCGCACAAGCGGCGGAGUACGCGGAUUAAUUCGAUGCAACGCGAAGAACCUUACCAAGGCUUGACAUACACUCGGAAUCGGCCAGAGAUGGUCGCCCCUCUUGU